AAAGUCAAUUUUUACUUAACUUACACAUGCAAGUCUCCGCACCCCUGUGAAAACACCCUUUAACCCCUCCAAGGGGAAAGGAGUUGGUAUCAGGCACAAAUAUUAGCCCAAGACACCUAGCCAGGCCACACCCACAAGGGAACUCAGCAGUGAUUAACAUUGAAUAUUAGCGAUAGCUUGACUCAGUUAAAGUAUAAAGAGCCGGCUAAUCUGGUGCCAGCCGCCGCGGUUACACCACGUGGCUCAAAUUGACCUAACUCGGCGUAAAGCGUGAUUUAAGAAAAUAUUUCUGGUGUCAAAAACAUACUAAGCUGUGACACGCUUGUACCUAAGAAGAUCGAAAUCGAAAGCUACACCAACCUAAACAACUUGA
RNAcentral lists this ribosomal RNA (373 nucleotides) under Leptodactylus myersi (Myers' thin-toed frog). RNAcentral describes it as "partial 12S ribosomal RNA". Lineage: Eukaryota; Metazoa; Chordata; Amphibia; Anura; Leptodactylidae. The record is from RNAcentral.